This 445-nucleotide ribosomal RNA is filed under the name uncultured bacterium. RNAcentral describes it as "partial 16S ribosomal RNA". It matches the Rfam family "Bacterial small subunit ribosomal RNA", at positions 354 to 796 of the family's 1533-position model. The record is from RNAcentral.
GUAAGGAAUAUUGGGCAAUGGAGGCAACUCUGACCCAACCAUGCCGCGUGCAGGAAGACGGCCCUACGGGUUGUAAACUGCUUUUAAUAGGGAGUAAGGUUAGUUACGUGUAACUAAUUGCAAGUACCUAUAGAAUAAGGAUCGGCUAACUCCGUGCCAGCAGCCGCGGUAAUACGGAGGAUCCAAGCGUUAUCCGGAUUUAUUGGGUUUAAAGGGUGCGCAGGCGGACUAAUAAGUCAGUGGUGAAAUCUACAUGCUUAACAUGUAUCGUGCCAUUGAUACUGUUGGACUAGUAUGCAAAUGACGUAGCUGGAAUGUGUUAUGUAGCGGUGAAAUGCUUAGAUAUAACACAGAACACCGAUCGUGAAGACAGGUUACGAAUUUGUAAUAGACGCUCAGGCACGAAAGCGUGGGGAUCAAACAGGAUUAGAAACCCCAGUAGUCC